CCCGAAGUGGAUGAGCUGCUCGUUGAAGAACCAGGUGAACUUGAGUUCCAGAGACGGGUCGUGGCUCACUUGGCAGGGCAGGACCACGCUCUCCCCGACGGUGACGUCCAGCGUGGAGGCCAGCGUGGUGAUGACGCAGGACUGGUGUGUUCUGUCGUCAUCUCCUCUCCUUGUGCCGUGUGGUUGUGUGCUGCCUGGUCUCUUACUGCCUCCAGGGGUUUCACAGUGACAAUGAUGGGGGGGGGUAUGCUGCCUUAUUACCCUCCUCUGUCAUGAUUUGUGACAGAUUAUACGGACAACCAAGACAACAUGUCUGCGCGAUGUGCCCAUUAUGCGAGGAGACAUUUUCCACCCUGGUCCCGGGAGAAUCUAGAGGAGGGGGGGCAGGUAUCAAUAAUUCACAGGAGGCGAUUAUUUUGAACACGGCGAGAUGUCCGAAUGCACUCGUGUAAUCCUAAAAAACACAGGUGUGUAUUUUUUUGGGGGGGAGAUCAAGCCUCAGAGGACAGAGGCUGUACAGCGUUGAUCCUCCCUGCUCUCCACCAAGAUGAAAGAGACAAAUAACAUCAGUCACAGAGCAGCUAUCAUGAGGCACUGUGAAGUGGAAAUCGCAGGAGCAGAGCCCGGUCCAAAGUGAAAGCCUUAUUUUUUUGUGUUUUUUUUAUUUGUGAUUUCCUUACGUUCUCUCUGAGACGAUGUUAACAGAUGCACACUUUGCCUUUUUGCAAGCUUCCUUA
Molecule: long non-coding RNA, 737 nt
Organism: Oreochromis niloticus (Nile tilapia)
Lineage: Eukaryota; Metazoa; Chordata; Actinopteri; Cichliformes; Cichlidae
Exons: 4
Source: RefSeq, a predicted model, not a curated record